GGGAAGUUGAAUUUCUUUUUGGGAAACUUUUAGAUAGAAUAAUGUGGUUGGUUACUACAAAUUAUUGGAUAGAUAGGUAAAAAUCUGUACAUAUUGGUUCAGAUAGGAAAAGUUGGUUGAAUAAGUUGAUCAUGUUCUGCGCCAAUGGUAAGGAGUGAACCAGCGUUAGUUCCAGAAUGGUUGAGAAACACUGGAAGUGUUACUGGCGGUGGCUCUUCAAAUCCCCACUUUGCAACCUCUUCUUUUCAUUCAGAUGUUACUUUAUCCACACUGUCUUCUCCCAAUAGAUCUCCUAGGAGUGUUGGUGACAAA
Molecule: unclassified non-coding RNA, 312 nt
Filed under: Hevea brasiliensis (rubber tree)
Lineage: Eukaryota; Viridiplantae; Streptophyta; Magnoliopsida; Malpighiales; Euphorbiaceae
Source: RNAcentral